GCGGCCCGGGCCGGGCGUGGAGCUGGCGUUCUCUUUUCACUCUUCCUUGUGUGCCACACACGUUCUCUCGCUAGAUGGUGACGAGGGAAGAACCGGGUCUCUCCUGUCAACAGAAUUGGUGCUGAAACCCUGGACCGAGACUUGGGUCCCGCCCUUUGUCUCCAGCCGUUGGGAACGUUUGGGACGCAGGAGAAGCCGGCUGUGUUGACGCAGACCUCUCCCCAGACCAGCAGAGGAGUCCAAGCUCCACCCACACUGUGGGCCAGCAAGGACCUCGUCAGCAUGAGGACUUUUCCACAGGACUACUCUUGCAUCUGAUAAGUAGCUUUCUAUUUUACCCCUUAACCCCUUUCGCUUAUCUUCAGCCGUUGGCACCAGAACAGUGGGGAACCGUCUCCAUUACUCUGGACGAAAAGACUGUAUAUUCCAGCCCAUGGGGCAUUACAGCUACUCAGAACGUUGCUAAGCUACUGCCCAGGACUUGCUCCCGAGCAGUCAGCGCUCCCCUAGCGGGCCUGUGUUGUGUCGUUAACCACCCACAGGUCAGCCACCCCUUCUGCAUCGUCAGUAACGCUCCAGGAGGCUCGCCUGUGGGAGGGCUUGCUGACAGCCAGUGCCGACAAAAGUUUCUCAUCUCGGAGCCCCCGCUCACAAACACCACUCGUGGAAUUCCCCUCAGCACAGCACCCUACAUCUCUGGGGGCGUUCCUAACCCGCGGGACAAAACGAACUUCAUACACACCCGCGUUCCAAAGCCAGCUGUCCCUGGCCUGCCUUUGGACAAAAACUCACCAAGAACAGCUUACUGCCAAGGCAGGCCGUCCUACCCAGUUAAUGAAUUCCUCCCACAGGAAGAGGAGGACUGCAUCACUCUGCACCGCGGCUCUCAGGCUGCCGUGCAUUUAGGAAUGACGAGGGGUGCUCUCUUUACUGAAUUUGUACAUAAACCAGAUUUCCACAGUCCCAUAAUAGACGCCCUGGCUGCAGCCUCGCUGGCAGCACAAGGAUUGCAGUGGUGGAGGACUAAAUACCCACGGACCAAACCGCUAGUCAAAGGCAGAUGCGUCUCUGUAGAAACCCAGCAGGUCAAGCCGGCAGAGAUCGCUCUGAUGGCAGAAAUACUGAAUUCGACAGGAAUCUAUUGGAUCUGGGGGCCCCGGCCAUACCACACCCUCCCUCCACAGUGGAGGGGAAUCUGCUCCCUCAGGUAUGUUUCCAAGGGUCACUUCCCUGCACCUCCUCUGACCAACGUGCAGCAUCCCCGGCGGUCUCAGACAUUCUUCUCCAGCUCCCAGAUAGGACAGGGCAAGAGUUUUGUGGUUCUCAGCAGGCAGGGUCAACUGUCCCAUCCAAGCCUGAAGCAGCUAUGGAAGACAGACCUUCAACCCUCAGCAACCUGAGAAGGAAUUUCUGAGCACCAUGUCUCGGGGGAAAUGAGGCAGGAGACAGCACGGGAAGAGCUCUGAGACCGCGCUGCAGUUUCUGGCCAGUGGUUGGCGUCCUGGUUGCCAGGACGUGCCUUUUAUCACUUAGGUAGAAUGAAUAGCAAACCGAGGCAGGGAGGAGGGAGCCAUGUCUCCACGACUAACUCGGCUGUCCUGAGCCCGGUCUGGUAAUAUUGCCAUGUAAUCCAACAGCACAAGAAACUCUCUGUUAGCAAGGAAGGAGGAAUGUCCUUGAAAUUUGAAGUAGUGUUUCCAUUAUCUGAGAAAGAAGGUCUUGAAACUGCUUUCAUCCCAAGGUCUGAAAUGCAGGAGAGGGCCCAUAGUGCCCAAAGAAGAGGCCAUAAAUAACUUUGGGUAACUGCCCCAACUUUAUUAACUGCUUCCUCCCAUGUGUCUGUUUUACAAGAUGAACAGACGGGGUCUGGAGGUACUGCCCACACCUACCUAGUUUGGGCAGUCAUGUCCCCCCCGGGUAAACUGGCACCACAUUUACCUGUCAAUCAGUAUGUAACUUUUUUGUAAUCCACCAACUGUGUAAGUCCUCGGAGCAAAGGGCUAGUUCUCUGGGCGCUCUUGGCGCUCUGGCUGCCCGGCUGCAGGCCACCCAGGGGCUGGCCACCCUGGUCUACAGCCCCCCGUGCUUUUGCCGCCCUGCUUUGCCCUGAACUUCUGGCCUUCGCCCCCCGCCCUCGCGAGGCCCGUUCUCUCGCACGGGAAUGGAUCGCUAAUAGACUGAUUGCACGCUACCAGAUUCGCUGACCUGUACUUCUUUACAUGGGUCUGUAAGAGGAACCAGUGCUCUCCCCUCGACACCGGGACCGGAAGGGUGGGAAAGUGAGAGCAGGUGGGGCUCUGCAGAUGCCCUGCGGGACAGGAAGGUAGAUGACGUCCCACUACCUCCACCCGUCAUCUUUCUAAAGAGGUUUGUGCACAUUAGCUUUUCAUCUUUUGAAAGAAAAAAGAAAGAUUAUAGAAAAGUGGAAUGUUGGAGUUCGAAGUCCUUAAUUGUAAAGGUCCUUUUUGCUAAGUUUUUAUU
Long non-coding RNA from Pteronotus mesoamericanus, 2481 nucleotides. RefSeq lists it as uncharacterized. NCBI's taxonomy places the organism in Eukaryota, Metazoa, Chordata, Mammalia, Chiroptera, Mormoopidae. The transcript is spliced from 3 exons. The record is from RefSeq and is a predicted model, not a curated record.